AGCAGAGUAAAUGGCCCAAAGAUGGCGGCCAUCAGGUUUCCCACCAUUGGAAUGACAGGCAACAGUACCAUGCAUCUGACGAGUGGUUAUUCCUCUCUCCUCUGCUACCAAAUUGAUCGCAUUAUUCAGAUGAUCUUUACCAGCUGGAAGUUAUCGCUUGGACACAAAAUGGAGCUCUGUUGGUUCUUAUCGAGGUGUAGUGGAGAAUCAGCUGGCUUCAGUGCAGACACAGGUGCAAAGGCAAAUGCUAGAUUCAUGUCCCAGCAAUAAGAGGUGGAUCAGUCUUCAAAAUGGGUGUUGAACGCCGGAGAGAAAAGAGUCCAAGUGACGUUAGCUUCUCAUUUGCUGGUUACACAGAAGGCGGCAAUGCUGAAUGAAUUCGUAUCUAAGCUGCCUUGUGGUCCGGUGCAAUUCUUGGAAGUGUCAUGUUGGAUUGUUUGCUUAAUAAUACUGAUUUGUAAGAAAUCAUGAAAGUAUCCACUUGAUAACUUCAGCAGUGGGAAAACAUUACGUUCCAUCGGCUGUGCCUUGAAAUAAAGCAAGUACUUAUGGCAAUA
Long non-coding RNA from Acinonyx jubatus (cheetah), 557 nucleotides. RefSeq lists it as uncharacterized. NCBI's taxonomy places the organism in Eukaryota, Metazoa, Chordata, Mammalia, Carnivora, Felidae. The record is from RefSeq and is a predicted model, not a curated record. The transcript is spliced from 3 exons.